UUAGUGAUCCGGUGGUUCCGCAUGGAAGGGCCAUCGCUCAACGGAUAAAAGCUACCCCGGGGAUAACAGGCUUAUCUCCCCCAAGAGUUCACAUCGACGGGGAGGUUUGGCACCUCGAUGUCGGCUCAUCGCAUCCUGGGGCUGUAGUCGGUCCCAAGGGUUGGGCUGUUCGCCCAUUAAAGCGGUACGCGAGCUGGGUUCAGAACGUCGUGAGACAGUUCGGUCCCUAUCCGUCGUGGGCGUAGGAAAUUUGAGAGGAGCUGUCCUUAGUACGAGAGGACCGGGAUGGACAUACCUCUGGUGUACCAGUUGUCGUGCCAACGGCAUAGCUGGGUAGCUAUGUAUGGACGGGAUAAGUGCUGAAAGCAUCUAAGCAUGAAGCCCCCCUCAAGAUGAGAUUUCCCAACUUCGGUUAUAAGAUCCCUCGAAGAUGACGAGGUUAAUAGGUUCGAGGUGGAAGCGUGGUGACACGUGGAGCUGACGAAUACUAAUCGAUCGAAGACUUAAUCAAUUU
This 514-nucleotide ribosomal RNA is filed under the name Staphylococcus epidermidis. RNAcentral describes it as "partial 23S ribosomal RNA". It matches the Rfam family "Bacterial large subunit ribosomal RNA", at positions 2412 to 2925 of the family's 2925-position model. The record is from RNAcentral. Lineage: Bacteria; Bacillati; Bacillota; Bacilli; Caryophanales; Staphylococcaceae.